RNAcentral lists this ribosomal RNA (408 nucleotides) under uncultured bacterium. RNAcentral describes it as "partial 16S ribosomal RNA". It matches the Rfam family "Bacterial small subunit ribosomal RNA", at positions 28 to 526 of the family's 1533-position model. The record is from RNAcentral.
GACGAACGCUGGCGGCGUGCUUAACACAUGCAAGUCGAAGAUGGUGGCGAACGGGUGAGUAAUACGGGGGUAACCUGCCCUCCUUUUUGGGAUAAGCCUUGGAAACGGGGUCUAAUAACGAAUAAAGGGGGAUGGGCUGGCGGCCUUUCAGGUUGUUGGUGGGGUGAUGGCCUACCAAGGCGGUGAGGGGUAGCCGGCCUGGGAGGGUGACCGGCCAAAUUGGGACUGAGAUACGGCCCAGACUCCUACGGGGGGCAGCAGUGGGGAAUCUUCCGCAAUGGGGGGAAGUCUGACGGAGCAACGCCGCGUGAGUGAUGACGGCCUUCGGGUUGUAAAGCUCUGUUAAUCGGGAGACGGUACCGGAAUAGAAAGCCACGGCUAACUACGUGCCAGCAGCCGCGGUAAUUC